Diuraphis noxia (Russian wheat aphid) is the source of this 1291-nucleotide long non-coding RNA. The record is from RefSeq and is a predicted model, not a curated record. NCBI's taxonomy places the organism in Eukaryota, Metazoa, Arthropoda, Insecta, Hemiptera, Aphididae.
CAGAUGUACCUAUAGGGCCAGUAAAGGAUGAUAAACCCGAUGAAAAUCUACGAAAAAUUGUAGCAGGCUAUGCCUCAGGCCAGACACCUACAAAUAUUACAAACUCCCUAUAAGACGGGAUUCUUCUCACAGCGGAAAACCACAACAGACUCGUACAACGUUUUUUCCUAUGUAUUUUAUUCAAUAUCACUGUAAAGGAAACUCUUUUUUAUAAUUUAAUGGAUAAAUCAUUAAAAACAAAUCAGUGGAAGUCUUAUUCGUAAUAAUUGAUUAUCUCCGUUUUUUUGAUUAGAAAUUGUUUUAAUUUACCAAUUACUUUGGCGUAAUCAAUUUGUGAUACGAUGUAAAUUGAGUAGAAGAUGAUUUCGUGAUGUACUUCGGAUGUGGUAUCAUUAAGUGUAAUCUGAUACAAUCUGAACCAAUUCGCAAACUUAUAAACGGGAAACCUGACUGGGAUAAAUUCAAACGAUACGUUUCAGAUAAUAUAACAAUUCCUAAGAAUAUCUCCAAUACAUUAUUGGCUGAUGUAGCAAUCUCUCACCUUCAUGAAACAAUUUCCUAUGCGGCAGAACAGUGUACAAUUCCCUCAAAACCAACUUUGGGUCAAAAUUACAAUUUCAAAAAUUACCCCAUCAAUACAAAAAAUUAUAAAGAACAAACACCAUAUAAGAAAACAAUAGCAACUUCAUAGAAGACCAGAAGAUCGCAAGAAGCUAAAUUUCCUUACCAAAAAAGUAAAACUACUACUCGAAGAACAUAGAAUAAAUUCAUAUCAAAAAUAUUUAUCUUCAAUACAUCCCGCUGAUUCAAAUCUUUGGUUAGUGACCAAAAGAUUAAUCAAGCCCAAUGACAACAAAAUCCCACCUCUAAAAUCUGGAAACAGUCGCGAUAAGUCAACCAUCGAAGCAAGUCGUUCGUUAAUUGUCGCUCCGUAUCUACGUUUUGCUAUCGCCUUUUGUAUAAUGCCGGCGUCGUCUUCGGGCGGCGACGACAAUCGUCCGCACGCUCCUAGCAGUUCGGUCGGUAGAAUAGGAAGAGCAUCAAGGGCAUCGAAUGCUUCCAGACCACACAACACGGAUCAGGAAUAGACCAUCAAGACAAGUAGAAAAGCAUCUCAAUCUAAGAAGGUAUCAACUCCAACUAGCCCUAUAUCUCCCACUCUACAGCAGAUUAAAAAUAAUCCACCAGUAUUAAAUAUGCCCAACAAUACAUUCGAUUACGACAUUUCGUUAUCUCAUUCUACUAACGACACGGCCUAUAAUAAUAUGAAUAUAGAUAUAGAUUUAUCGCA